This 301-nucleotide ribosomal RNA is filed under the name uncultured bacterium. RNAcentral's name for it is "partial 16S ribosomal RNA". It matches the Rfam family "Bacterial small subunit ribosomal RNA", at positions 509 to 807 of the family's 1533-position model. The record is from RNAcentral.
CAGUAGCCGCGGGAAUACGUAGGGUGCGAGCGUUAAUCGGAAUUACUGGGCGUAAAGCGUGCGCAGGCGGUUGUGUAAGACAGGCGUGAAAUCCCCGGGCUCAACCUGGGAAUGGCGCUUGUGACUGCAAAGCUAGAGUGCGGCAGAGGGGGAUGGAAUUCCGCGUGUAGCAGUGAAAUGCGUAGAUAUGCGGAGGAACACCGAUGGCGAAGGCAAUCCCCUGGGCCUGCACUGACGCUCAUGCACGAAAGCGUGGGGAGCAAACAGGAUUAGAUACCCCGGUAGUCCCUGUCUCUUAUAC